Long non-coding RNA from Oreochromis aureus, 923 nucleotides. RefSeq lists it as uncharacterized. The transcript is spliced from 3 exons. Lineage: Eukaryota; Metazoa; Chordata; Actinopteri; Cichliformes; Cichlidae. The record is from RefSeq and is a predicted model, not a curated record.
AUAGAGAGAAAUUAUCCUUAAAUUUAGCAUUUUGGGCUUUGAUCUGUGGUUGUUGAUCAAUGGUCAUGACAAUUUGCAUGUUAAUAAUCAAGGAACAUUCAGUAGGCUGGUUUCACUCAUUGUGCAAAUGUACUGGUUAUAAGGUUGGGGAAACCUGCAGUCAGCUGAGACUGAAGAAGUCACUUGCAUGAGUGAGGAAACCUUUCUCCCACUGAAAACGCUACGUGCAGAUGAACACCACUAAUCAUUAACUGUGUGGAGAGAGGGUGGCAGACUUUCGCUUCUUGGGAGUUAAUAUAGAGGAGAACCUUUCCAGGAGUGUGAACACCUAUGAGCUGCUGAAAAAGGACCAGCACAGACUGCACUUCCUGAGAAUUCUCAGAAGGAAUAACAUCUCACACAGAGACUGCUGGUGUCCUUCUACAAAGCCUCCAUCGAAAGCAUACUAACCUACUGCAUAUGCAUCUGGUACACUAGCUGCACAGUGGCUCAGAGGAAAGGACUCCAGAGGGUCAUUAACACCACCCAAAGGAUCAUUGGCUGUCCUCUCCCCACGCUGGAAGACCUACACAGCACCCGCUGUCUUAAGAAAGCCCAGAACAUUACAAGAGAUACUACUCACUACUCACCAUGGCCACUCCCUGUUUGAACUGUUGCCCUCUGGCAGACGGUACAGAGCAAUCAAUAUGUUUAGCCCCAGUGCAUCCACCCCUAACCACAGCUCCGAGCCUUUCUUGUUCUUGAUGUUGAAAUAGUUGACCCCAUACAUCUCCAGAUCCUGUGCUAUCUUCAGAAAAACUGUAGUACCUGAGUAUCCCUUUAUGCUCUUUAUGCCACACCUGGAUUCUUUCCUCCCACUGACUCUUGUUCAGCUUGUGCUGCUCCAAAACCCUGGUUCAAUCAGUAGAGUAGGUACGCCAGUU